CUAACAAUAGAAUAAAAAAAAGCAUUUCGACUGGUCUUUCACGAGUCCAGUAGGCGUAGGUUCAAAUCCUACUUGUUGUG
This is a non-coding RNA of Picea glauca (white spruce), 80 nucleotides long. The record is from Rfam. NCBI's taxonomy places the organism in Eukaryota, Viridiplantae, Streptophyta, Pinopsida, Pinales, Pinaceae.